GACGUAGGAUGCAAGCGUCGUUCGGAUUUAUUGGGCGUAAAGCGUACGUAGGCGGUUAUCUAAGUCUGGUGUUAAAGCUAGGGGCUCAACCUCUGUGUUGCACUGGAAACUGGGUGACUUGAGAACGGUAGGGGAAGGUGGAAUUCCGAGUGUAGCGGUGAAAUGCGUAGAUAUUCGGAAGAACACCGGUGGCGAAGGCGACCUUCUGGGCCGUUUCUGACGCUGAGGUACGAAAGCGUGGGGAGCAAACAGG
This 253-nucleotide ribosomal RNA is filed under the name uncultured bacterium. RNAcentral describes it as "partial 16S ribosomal RNA". It matches the Rfam family "Bacterial small subunit ribosomal RNA", at positions 524 to 776 of the family's 1533-position model. The record is from RNAcentral.